RNAcentral lists this ribosomal RNA (701 nucleotides) under uncultured bacterium. RNAcentral describes it as "bacterial SSU rRNA". It matches the Rfam family "Bacterial small subunit ribosomal RNA", at positions 601 to 1303 of the family's 1533-position model. The record is from RNAcentral.
CCCCGGGCUCAACCUGGGAACUGCGUUNUGAACUGGGUGACUAGAGUGUGUCAGAGGGAGGUAGAAUUCCACGUGUAGCAGUGAAAUGCGUAGAGAUGUGGAGGAAUACCGAUGGCGAAGGCAGCCUCCUGGGAUAACACUGACGUACAUGCCCGAAAGCGUGGGUAGCAAACAGGAUUAGAUACCCUGGUAGCCCACGCCCUAAACGAUGUCGAUUAGCUGUUGGGCAGCUUGACUGCUUAGUAGCGAAGCUAACGCGUGAAAUCGACCGCCUGGGGAGUACGGUCGCAAGAUUAAAACUCAAAGGAGUUGACGGGGACUCGCACAAGCGGUGGAUGAUGUGGAUUAAUUCGAUGCAACGCGAAGAACCUUACCUGGUCUUGACAUGUACGGAACCCUCCAGAGACGGAGGGGUGCCUUCGGGAGCCGUAACACAGGUGCUGCACGGCUGUCGUCAGCUCGUGUCGUGAGAUGUUGGGUUAAGCCCCGCAACGAGCGCAACCCUUGUCAUUAGUUGCCAUCAUUAAGUUGGGCACUCUAAUGAGACUGCCGGUGACAAGCCGGAGGAAGGUGGGGAUGACGUCAAGUCCUCAUGGCCCUUAUGACCAGGGCUUUACACGUCAUACAAUGGCCGGUACAGAGGGUAGCCAAGCCGUGAGGUGGAGCCAAUCUCACAAAACCGAUCGUAGUCUGGAUUGCAC